GCCGUCGUGUUGAAAUUGGUAUACAAGCACGCUUGAGGUGCGUGUGGCGCGAGCCAUGGAGGUUCAAGUCCUCUCGACGGCA
This 82-nucleotide transfer RNA is filed under the name Candidatus Shapirobacteria bacterium. RNAcentral's name for it is "tRNA-Leu". It matches the Rfam family "tRNA". From Rfam's summary of the family: Transfer RNA (tRNA) molecules are approximately 80 nucleotides in length. Lineage: Bacteria; Candidatus Shapironibacteriota. The record is from RNAcentral.